Microcebus murinus (gray mouse lemur) is the source of this 581-nucleotide non-coding RNA. NCBI's taxonomy places the organism in Eukaryota, Metazoa, Chordata, Mammalia, Primates, Cheirogaleidae. The record is from RefSeq and is a predicted model, not a curated record.
CACAGCAGGGAUAGGGUUUAGGGAGGGGAGGGAGUGAGACCCAAGGUCACACUGGGCACCUGUGGGGCCAGCACCUCUCGUGCCUCCAUGUGGCUUUGCACAGAGGUGGGAGACCAGCUUGUAAGGCACCUUCCAGGAAUGGCCACAUAUCAAGUGCAAACAAAUGUAAUUUCUCUGCCUAUCGUUUAGGUAUAAACCCAUCCAGCGGCCUCAACUGUGCUUUUUGUGCUUGUAGUUCUGGUUUUAAACAUCAUUGCAGACUUGCACACUGAAAGCAAAUUUCAGUUGUCCCUACCAUCCUAUACAGAGGAGGACUAGCUUCAUUUAGUAAAAUGACAGGAGACAAGGUGGUGUGGCAGAAAGAUCACAGCCUUCAGAAUCAGACGGGUAAGGAUCUGGUUCAGCUCGGCCAAUACAAACCUCAAAGCCUGCUCUGCAUUUGUAGAAUGGGCAAAUAUCUAGCAAGAAACAACAGAGAGUUGGCCUGUGUAUAUAAAGCACUGAACAUGGUCCAUGAUGGGUUUCCAGUAAAUUAUUGCCACUAUUACUAAUUGUGAUACUAUCAGUGGGUUAAAGAAAUU